GCCUCAGGGGCGUAGUGGUUAGCGCACGAGCCAAAGUUAGGCGCGAGACGCGGGUUCGAAUCCCGCCUGAACUA
RNAcentral lists this transfer RNA (74 nucleotides) under Nippostrongylus brasiliensis. It matches the Rfam family "tRNA". Rfam says of the family: Transfer RNA (tRNA) molecules are approximately 80 nucleotides in length. The record is from Rfam by way of RNAcentral. Lineage: Eukaryota; Metazoa; Nematoda; Chromadorea; Rhabditida; Heligmosomidae.